AACGAACGCUGGCGGCAUGCCUAACACAUGCAAGUCGAACGAUUGCCUUCGGGUGAUAGUGGCGCACGGGUGCGUAACGCGUGGGAAUCUGCCCUUAGGUUCGGAAUAACAGCUGGAAACGGCUGCUAAUGCCGGAUGAUAUCGCGAGAUCAAAGAUUUAUCGCCUGAGGAUGAGCCCGCGUUGGAUUAGGUAGUUGGUGGGGUAAAGGCCCACCAAGCCGACGAUCCAUAGCUGGUCUGAGAGGAUGAUCAGCCACACUGGGACUGAGACACGGCCCAGACUCCUACGGGAGGCAGCAGUGGGGAAUAUUGGACAAUGGGCGCAAGCCUGAUCCAGCAAUGCCGCGUGAGUGAUGAAGGCCCUAGGGUUGUAAAGCUCUUUUACCCGGGAAGAUAAUGACUGUACCGGGAGAAUAAGCCCCGGCUAACUCCGUG
RNAcentral lists this ribosomal RNA (435 nucleotides) under uncultured bacterium. RNAcentral describes it as "partial 16S ribosomal RNA". It matches the Rfam family "Bacterial small subunit ribosomal RNA", at positions 29 to 507 of the family's 1533-position model. The record is from RNAcentral.